UACGUAGGGUGCGAGCGUUAAUCGGAAUUACUGGGCGUAAAGCGUGCGCAGGCGGUUUUGUAAGUCAGAUGUGAAAUCCCCGGGCUUAACCUGGGAACUGCGUUUGAAACUACAAGGCUAGAGUGUGGCAGAGGGGGGUGGAAUUCUACGUGUAGCAGUGAAAUGCGUAGAUAUGCGGAGGAACACCGAUGGCGAAGGCAAUCCCCUGGGCCUGCACUGACGCUCAUGCACGAAAGCGUGGGGAGCAAACAGG
This 253-nucleotide ribosomal RNA is filed under the name uncultured bacterium. RNAcentral's name for it is "partial 16S ribosomal RNA". It matches the Rfam family "Bacterial small subunit ribosomal RNA", at positions 524 to 776 of the family's 1533-position model. The record is from RNAcentral.